UGGGGAAUCUUGGACAAUGGGGGCAACCCUGAUCCAGCCAUGCCGCGUGCGUGAAGAAGGCCUUAGGGUUGUAAAGCGCUUUCAGCGGGGAAGAUAAUGACGGUACCCGCAGAAGAAGCCCCGGCUAACUCCGUGCCAGCAGCCGCGGUAAGACGGAGGGGGCUAGCGUUGUUCGGAAUUACUGGGCGUAAAGCGCGCGUAGGCGGACUAUUAAGUCAGGGGUGAAAGCCCGGGGCUCAACCCCGGAACUGCCUUUGAUACUGGUAGUCUAGAGUUCGGGAGAGGUGAGUGGAAUUCCAAGUGUAGAGGUGAAAUUCGUAGAUAUUUGGAGGAACACCAGUGGCGAAGGCGGCUCACUGGCUCGAUACUGACGCUGAGGUGCGAAAGUGUGGGGAGCAAACAGGAUUAGAUACCCGGGUAGUCC
This 424-nucleotide ribosomal RNA is filed under the name uncultured prokaryote. Its description in RNAcentral is "bacterial SSU rRNA". It matches the Rfam family "Bacterial small subunit ribosomal RNA", at positions 355 to 796 of the family's 1533-position model. The record is from RNAcentral.